GGAUGUGAAGGAGGUGGGCUUUGACUCCCACCAUCCCUUUGACCAGUUAUCUUACUGGCUAGGAAGGUGAUCUUUGUUUCCUCAUCUCUCCAAAUGCAUCUCUCCCAAAGCUGCUUAUGCUCCAGAGAGAAGAGCGGGCUUUGUUCAAGAAUAUAUGAGAAAGUUCAUUUCACCAGCAGAGGGUCCAAAAACAAAACAAAACAAACUUUUUGCAUGUAAUUAAAUCAACAGAGCAGACCAGAAGUUCU
Mustela putorius furo (domestic ferret) is the source of this 248-nucleotide unclassified non-coding RNA. Its record names the gene 7SK. It matches the Rfam family "7SK RNA". From Rfam's summary of the family: 7SK was discovered as an abundant small nuclear RNA in the mid-70s but a possible function has only recently been suggested. Lineage: Eukaryota; Metazoa; Chordata; Mammalia; Carnivora; Mustelidae. The record is from Ensembl.